Sorex araneus (European shrew) is the source of this 435-nucleotide long non-coding RNA. RefSeq lists it as uncharacterized. The transcript has 3 exons. NCBI's taxonomy places the organism in Eukaryota, Metazoa, Chordata, Mammalia, Eulipotyphla, Soricidae. The record is from RefSeq and is a predicted model, not a curated record.
UCAGACUUACCUUGGGAGCAGCCAUCCGGAAGAUCAACUUCUCAAUGUGACUUUUUCCAGAGUUCUGGUCCGGAGUGGAUCUAAUCACAAGCAUGAAGUCAUCCCGGCAGCCACCAAAGGUCAUCACGGAAGAGUAGGGCAAUCCACACCAGAGUCUUCUCCUUGGAAGACAGCAGGGCAGGCUGGAGAAAGGAGAAAAGCUCAUCAGGGGUAGCAUUGAGAAAGAAGUCAAGAAAGAAGAUGAUAUGGAUCACUCUGGAAUAAUCCUCACCCCCCCACCCCCCAAAAAAAGAAUCACAAGAGCUAUAGACCAGAAAUGAGUGGAGAGACUGCGACCCCUGGUGGUUGUGGGUGUGCAGGCAGGCAAUGCGGCCUGCGCUGGUUUAAAGAGGAAGGCAGCUCCUACAGAAACUCAGGCUGAGGCUGAAGCUGAGG